Molecule: ribosomal RNA, 429 nt
Filed under: Chloroflexota bacterium
Lineage: Bacteria; Bacillati; Chloroflexota
Description: Chloroflexi bacterium partial 16S ribosomal RNA
Rfam family: Bacterial small subunit ribosomal RNA
Source: RNAcentral
UGGGGAAUAUUGCACAAUGGGCGCAAGCCUGAUGCAGCCAUGCCGCGUGUAUGAAGAAGGCCUUCGGGUUGUAAAGUACUUUCAGUCGGGAGGAAGGUGGUAAGGUUAAUAACCUUGUCGAUUGACGUUACCCGCAGAAGAAGCACCGGCUAACUCCGUGCCAGCAGCCGCGGUAAUACGGAGGGUGCAAGCGUUAAUCGGAAUUACUGGGCGUAAAGCGCACGCAGGCGGUCUGUCAAGUCGGAUGUGAAAUCCCCGGGCUCAACCUGGGAACUGCAUUCGAAACUGGCAGGCUAGAGUCGUGUAGAGGGGGGUAGAAUUCCAGGUGUAGCGGUGAAAUGCGUAGAGAUCUGGAGGAAUACCGGUGGCGAAGGCGGCCCCCUGGACAAAGACUGACGCUCAGGUGCGAAAGCGUGGGGAGCAAACAGG